RNAcentral lists this long non-coding RNA (3633 nucleotides) under Homo sapiens (human). Its description in RNAcentral is "HSALNT0091359". The record is from RNAcentral. Lineage: Eukaryota; Metazoa; Chordata; Mammalia; Primates; Hominidae.
CAGUAAUUCUUCUGAGCGCAUGCUUGAGCGUAUUCUGCUUUACAACUCACAUUUUGUUCGUGGCUGGCUGUGUCUUCUAAAACAGAUCACACUGUUCUGGGGCACAGUGAGUCAUUCCACGUUCUUUUCUUCCCUGGUUCCACUCUGCACUUGUUCCUAAUCAACUUCCUCUUAUCUCUAACCAUUUUGCCAGUGUUUCUGUCUAAGCACUUCUGUCUCCACUGAGGUCAGAAAAAAGGGAAAUAGACUGAAAUCAACAUCGCAUCCACAAGGGUUUAUGAAGUAUCCUGCAUGUGUGGAGCAUCAUUACAGAUUUCUGUGAAUAGACCAGAAGCCGACCUUUACAGUGUGUUUGGGUGCAGGUGAGGCUGAUUUGAGGCAAAUGUGCUUUACAGAUCUACAAUCUUAUACCUCACUCUGGCUGAAGCACCAGUCCCCAAGUGCAGACUUCUUGCCUGUUUCCCGUGUAACACUGUCCAACUCUGAAGGCUCCUACCCUGACCUUGGCCCUUGCUAUUUUCUUCAGUGGUUCUGAUGAUGGAAGAAUCAGAAGUGCCUGGUGUAUACUGGAAAUAGGGUGGGUGGGGGGGGGGUGGCGUGUAUAUUUUCGGGGAGUAUUUUUCCUUUUUAUCAUCUCUAUUCUAACUGUUUUCUCUGGGCACAGCUUUGCUCUAAUUAUAGCAAAGGCUAAACAAGGUGAACUUCAGUCUAGGAAUUUUUAGUUCUAUAAUUUUAUGAGAGAGAAGACUUUUUCAAAUAAUUUCCUUGCUUAUUGGUUACUUUUUAACCUGCUUUGUGGGAUCCAUGCAGUUAAUUGAUUAAUCAUCUAAUUAUUACUGGCAUGGUUAUGGAUGUUACUUACAAUCUCAAGGCUUAUUUUCCUGCAAGUGGGCAUAAAAACACAAAUUAUAGGUUUGUUCUGAGUAUUAAAUGAGAUUAUGGCCAGUGCCUAGAACAUAUAUUUGAUGAAAAAAUCAAUUCAGUUCUAUUGACACCAGCAUUGAGAUAUGCUAAAUUCAAUGGUAAUUCUGAGUUUCAGAGUUCUGAGAAUGGCUUGAAUAAGUUUAUACUAACUUACAGUAGCAACAAUUGUUGAAUGCUUACUAUGUAGAAGGCAUAGUAAGGCGUAUGUUAAAUGUGUUGUAUUAACUUAUUUAGUUCUCACUACAGCAUCAGGAGGUAGGUUCCAUCGUCUAUAUUGUUUAGCUUGGAUAGAAAUAACUUGCUUAGGGAUAGCCUGUUAGGUCUGUCUGAUCCUGAGGUGUGUACUCCAAACUAUAUUAUACUGCCUUCCUGUGACCAUUUUCUAAAUACAAGUAUCAUAUUUUGAAAGUAAGAUACAUAAAAUUGAGCAGUUGUUCUGUGAUUACUGUGAGGUAGACUGUGAGUUGGGAAAUGUUACAUUUGGAGUGGAAAACAUUAUAAUUAUGGAUUCAGAAUUCCAUGAUCAGGGAUGGCUGGGGACAACUUCUAUUCUAGAACAUGGGUUGGGAACAUGGACUCUGGACUCAUAUUUUCUGUGUUUGCAUCUCAGCUCUGCCACUUUGUAGCUCUGUGACCUAGGACUAACUCAACUUCCUGAGUCUCAAUUUUCUUGUCUAUAAAAUGAUGAAAAUGCUGCCCAUCUCAUAGAGUUAUGAGGAUUAAAUGAGCGAAUACAUGUAGAUUCCUUAGAAUAGUGGCUGACACUUGGUAAGUGUCAUUAGAUAUCAUUAGCAUUUCUAUAUCUUUCACUUUAUAUGUCUCUUCUGGCUGUCUUCAUGUGUGCAUAGUUGUACUCUUGCUAAGAAAUGCAUAGAUUUACUUAAGGAUGUUGUGAAGCUUGUCCACAGAAUUAUAAUGUGGUUUUGGAGUCUUUAGUAUAUUAUAAUAGAGGGAAAAGUUAUUACUGUCAAUUUUUUCCACCUUCAAAAACAAUUAUUGCUUAAGAAUUACUGGGAUUAAUUAUCUUUUAAAUGUUUAAAUCUGAAUUCAUAUUUAUAAAAUUAAUACCUGUUCAAAAUCAAUAUUAGUAGAAGCCAAAUAUAUUGAGUGACUUAGUUGGCCUUAUCUUUAGUCAUAAUUUCAGAUUGGAAGUGAAAGCGAAUUUAAAAGAUGUGGUUGUGUAGAACCAUCUCUUUUAUUCUUUUUAUACAUGCAUGUGAGUGAGGUAAGUGGUUAGACAUAUUCUUAGUCUUUUUGCCCAGCUCAAGGAAGAGUUAAUAAAAUUACGUUAUGUAAAGUGCAUUGAACUCCUCAAGAGAGAAGUGUUACAUUAAUACCUGCCUCACAGUGAUGUUCUCAGACUUAAUGUUUGUAAAUUGCCUUGGUACUCCCAGUAACAUCCUGAUGAAGCAUCAUUUUGUUUUAUUGCAAGGAGCUCUAAGUUACACAGAAUACAAGUUAAGGGGGAAAUAAUAUCCCAGUCUUUAUUUUACAAUCAGAAGUACAUAAAAUAGAGAGAAAACAUUUUGUUCCAGUUGUGAAUGGUAAAAUUGAUCAUUUAUUUUUUUCUCUCUGUUACUUUGGGGAUGACGUAGAGUUUAUAAUGUAGUUUAAUUGAGCACUCAAGGUUAAAGUAUUUAAUGGCAGAAUUGGUGAUCAUGAUACAAAGAGAUCUUUAAGGACACUGGUAUUCAAAUUUUUAAAGUUAAAUUCCAAUUUUAAGAGUCAGUUUUUUAUAUGAUUACUAUUAAGUUUGGCAUUUUUGAGACAUGUCUUAAAUCGAUAUCUGUAAUACUUACAAACAUCAGUAGAGAGAAUCAUAUUGUAAACACAUAUUCUUGCUGUAGGGUACAUUUUAAAUGUCUAAACACUAAUCAAUAUAGCAAAAUUAAGUAUUGACUAAAAUAGCUUUAUAAUAAGUAAUUAUUGGUUUGCUCUUUUAGAAAUUAGACAUUUUCACUUUGGGAAUAAAGAGUAAAUUUACUGUCAUGAAAUUAAAGUGUUUUUGACCUUUUUGUACAACUUUCCUCUGUCUAUGAAAUGAUUAGGUUUAAAUAUGAUUGCACAGCUGUAUUAUGUUGCAAGCAUCAAUUUUUAAUUAUUAUAAGGUCAAUGUUAGAACAAAUGUGAUUAGAACAGUACCUCUGUGCAGUUAUUUACUUUCUACUCAGAAACCACUCUGUGUUUACUAAAACUAACCCAAACCUCUCUCGGUUGAUAUGGCUAAUUAGAUUCUUGCCAAAUAUUUUAUUUUCCUCAGUGUUCAUUCUAUGUAUGUUAUUUUGUUGAUUCGUUCAGUUUUUUAAAAUACGAAUUUCGUGAUUUAUUUCUUCCCUUCAUAGGGGGACAUUUAUUUUUCUAUGUGUCUGUGUGUACAUAUCUCUCUGUGUGUAUAACCACAGAUAACAAUAGCUUCACAAUCCUCCUGCCUUGUAUAGCACAAAUAUUUCUUCCCCACAAUAUUAUUGAGAACUGAUUUGUAUAAAGCACAUCUAAAGAGAAAAGGAGUUUCCUUGCCAAGCCUAGAUUUUUAUGAUUCUAUAGUCACAGAGAUUUGCUGCUCUUCCUGAUUUUCUCCUGCCACUCUAUGUGACUUUGGAUUUGGCCUUCAAAUUAAAAGUUUCCUGCUAUAUAAAAAAUGACAAAAUAAUACAUGAUCUACACAUUAUUCAUGAAAAUUCCCAAGAUUUUCAGCAUUAAUAGUAAUUC